Molecule: long non-coding RNA, 545 nt
Filed under: Trifolium pratense (red clover)
Lineage: Eukaryota; Viridiplantae; Streptophyta; Magnoliopsida; Fabales; Fabaceae
Description: long non-coding RNA (TPRA_LNC003897)
Source: RNAcentral
AAUAAGUUAAUGUAGGUUCCACACUGAUGCAAUUCUAGAAAAGUCGAAAAUGGUAGUACAUACAAGAAUUAAAGUCAUUAUUAUUAUAACAGACAUAAAACAUAAUCAUGAUGAACAAAGGACAUAGGAACCUUUCAACCAAUUUGAAAUAAACCAUCACCUUUAAGAGACCAGAAAUGCGGCAGCUAUAAGUGGCAUCCUCUCCAUCAGCAAUGACCUGGUUGGCAUCCACAGACCAGGUAUGUACCUAAAAGUAUCUAGAAUAAAAAUAGUCAAGGAUAUUUGUCAGAAAAGAACUUUAAAGCACCAUAUGCAAAAACUAACAUCUUGCAUUCAAUCACAAAAUAAUGAGUUAAAAAUAAUCAUCAGGUACAACGCAUUAAAGAAAUGAAACUAAAACCCAGGUUUAUCAAACUAAAGUAUAGACCCACUGCUGUAGUAGAUGCACUUGCACGUGUAUUUUGCACAGAAACUGAAAGACCAUUAUUAACUAAUCAAAUUACAAAUAAAAAUCAAACAAAUAUACAAUCAAUUGAAUUAGGANN